RNAcentral lists this long non-coding RNA (1095 nucleotides) under Pogona vitticeps (central bearded dragon). RNAcentral's name for it is "lncRNA (ENSPVIG00000012013.1)". Lineage: Eukaryota; Metazoa; Chordata; Lepidosauria; Squamata; Agamidae. The record is from RNAcentral.
CCUGCUGGCCAGGCAAUGACAGCCUCACUUGGGUAACUAAGCUGCUCCGAGGAGGCAGCUCCCCAGGCAGCCAUCUGGAAUCCCCAGGCAUUUAACUUACUUCCUGCAUGGCAGCCUGGCAGCUUCCCAGAAUGCAUCAGGCAAGGCCUUCUGCCGGGCAGCCCUGUAGGGCUCCUGUCAUUUUGCUGGCUCCUCCGGGGAAGGAGGAGGAGGAAGACACUGCUGAUGUCAUGGAGAGGCAAGCCCCACCCCAAACCAGCUGUAAGCUUUUGGACCAAACCUCAAGCUUUUUUGCUCUUGAGAAGACUGUCUGCUCUUGAGGGCCGCUCUUUCUACUGAGAAGACCACUACUUGCUAUCCAGUGAGUCAACAUGGAACUGUGCACUGAUAAGAAAUGAUUAAUACAAGACUAUCAUUGAGUUAUUUAAUGAUUACCAUACUAUUAAUUCAUCCAAUUAAAAACGAAAAACAAAUAUACCCUCAUACAGACACCUGUAAGAUCCCCUUCAUCUCCUUGCCAAGUUGCACUUGUCUCUGUUUCAUUGGCUAAAAUCCUGUUUCUUCUGGCAACCCUAGGUGAACUUGUAAAUUUGGGUCCCUACUUUGGCCUGAUGAAGGGAUGGCUCAUGUUCUGAGCAGAGCUCUCUGUGUGUGUCACUCAAAAAUGUCUGGGCCAUAUACGCCCCUUUCUUGGACAAUGGUCCACCUAUGGAAGACAUCCAAGACAUUCUGACAUCCAAGACCCCAAGUUUUGGAACCAUUGAUUUGGAUGACAGCUGAGUUUCCUGCUGGUGCCCCUUGGAUGCUCUAAGAGCAGAAAGACAGACAAUGAAAUCCACCUGCGAAAGCAAGAACUUUGUGGUGCAGAAGAAGAAAUGCAGUAACAUCAUCACUCCAAGAUCCAGACAUCAAUUCCCUGAUAUGAUCGAAUGCCAGUAUGUUCUCAGUCUUAUACUUAUUGUGUUCUGUUGACUCCAUGUGUUUGUCCAGCAUUCUUAUGCGGCUAGGAGGUACCCACACAUACACUACCACCACCAGUGCUGAACGCAAUUGGAAGGAAGCCCUUUUAGUUUCAAUGGAACUUACAAGCAAAUG